UACGUAGGGUGCGAGCGUUGUCCGGAAUUAUUGGGCGUAAAGGGCUCGUAGGCGGUUUGUCACGUCGGGAGUGAAAACUCGGGGCUUAACCCCGAGCCUGCUUCCGAUACGGGCUGACUAGAGGUAUGCAGGGGAGAACGGAGUUCCUGGUGUAGCGGUGAAAUGCGCAGAUAUCAGGAGGAACACCGGUGGCGAAGGCGGAUCUCUGGGGCUGUUCUGACGCUGAGGAGCGAAAGCUGGGGGAGCAAACAGG
Molecule: ribosomal RNA, 253 nt
Filed under: uncultured bacterium
Lineage: Bacteria
Description: partial 16S ribosomal RNA
Rfam family: Bacterial small subunit ribosomal RNA
Source: RNAcentral